CGGUUAAGUUAGAAAGGGCGCACGGUGGAUGCCUUGGCACUAGGAGCCGAUGAAGGACGGGACGAACACCGAUAUGCUUCGGGGAGCUGUAAGCAAGCUUUGAUCCGGAGAUUUCCGAAUGGGGAAACCCACCACUCGUAAUGGAGUGGUAUCCAUAUCUGAAUACAUAGGAUAUGAGAAGGCAGACCCGGGGAACUGAAACAUCUAAGUACCCGGAGGAAGAGAAAGCAAAUGCGAUUCCCUGAGUAGCGGCGAGCGAAACGGGACCAGCCCAAACCAAGAGGCUUGCCUCUUGGGGUUGUAGGACACUCUGUACGGAGUUACAAAGGAACGAGGUAGAUGAAGAGGUCUGGAAAGGCCCGCCAUAGAAGGUAACAGCCCUGUAGUCAAAACUUCGUUCUCUCCUGAGUGGAUCCUGAGUACGGCGGAACACGUGAAAUUCCGUCGGAAUCCGGGAGGACCAUCUCCCAAGGCUAAAUACUCCCUAGUGACCGAUAGUGAACCAGUACCGUGAGGGAAAGGUGAAAAGCACCCCGGAAGGGGAGUGAAAGAGAUCCUGAAACCGUGUGCCUACAAGUAGUCAGAGCCCGUUAACGGGUGAUGGCGUGCCUUUUGUAGAAUGAACCGGCGAGUUACGAUCCCGUGCAAGGUUAAGCAGAAGAUGCGGAGCCGCAGCGAAAGCGAGUCUGAAUAGGGCGAAUUGAGUACGUGGUCGUAGACCCGAAACCAGGUGAUCUACCCAUGUCCAGGGUGAAGUUCAGGUAACACUGAAUGGAGGCCCGAACCCACGCACGUUGAAAAGUGCGGGGAUGAGGUGUGGGUAGGGGUGAAAUGCCAAUCGAACCUGGAGAUAGCUGGUUCUCUCCGAAAUAGCUUUAGGGCUAGCCUCAAGGUAAGAGUCUCGGAGGUAGAGCACUGAUUGGACUAGGGGCCCCUACCGGGUUACCGAAUUCAGUCAAACUCCGAAUGCCGAUGACUUAUCCUUGGGAGUCAGAC
Molecule: ribosomal RNA, 996 nt
Filed under: Bacteroides uniformis
Lineage: Bacteria; Pseudomonadati; Bacteroidota; Bacteroidia; Bacteroidales; Bacteroidaceae
Description: partial 23S ribosomal RNA
Rfam family: Bacterial large subunit ribosomal RNA
Source: RNAcentral